RNAcentral lists this ribosomal RNA (492 nucleotides) under uncultured bacterium. Its description in RNAcentral is "partial 16S ribosomal RNA". It matches the Rfam family "Bacterial small subunit ribosomal RNA", at positions 29 to 507 of the family's 1533-position model. The record is from RNAcentral.
AGUGAACGCUGGCGGUAGGCCUAACACAUGCAAGUCGAACGGCAGCACAGUAAGAGCUUGCUCUUACGGGUGGCGAGUGGCGGACGGGUGAGGAAUACAUCGGAAUCUACUUUUUCGUGGGGGAUAACGUAGGGAAACUUACGCUAAUACCGCAUACGACCUACGGGUGAAAUCAGGGGAUCUUCGGACCUUGCGCGAUUGAAUGAGCCGAUGUCGGAUUAGCUAGUUGGCGGGGUAAAGGCCCACCAAGGCGACGAUCCGUAGCUGGUCUGAGAGGAUGAUCAGCCACACUGGAACUGAGACACGGUCCAGACUCCUACGGGAGGCAGCAGUGGGGAAUAUUGGACAAUGGGCGCAAGCCUGAUGCAGCAAUACCGCGUGGGUGAUGAAGGCCUUCGGGUUGUAAAGCCCUUUUGUUGGGAAAGAAAAGCAGCAGGUGAAUACCCCGCUGUUCUGACGGUACCCAAAGAAUAAGCACCGGCUAACUUCGUG